This 460-nucleotide ribosomal RNA is filed under the name uncultured bacterium. RNAcentral's name for it is "partial 16S ribosomal RNA". It matches the Rfam family "Bacterial small subunit ribosomal RNA", at positions 338 to 795 of the family's 1533-position model. The record is from RNAcentral.
CCUACGGGAGGCAGCAGUGAGGAAUAUUGGUCAAUGGGCGUACGCCUGCACCAGCCAAGUCGCGUGAGGGAUGAAGGUUCUGUGGAUCUUAAACCUCUUUUAUAAGGGAAUAAAGUGUGGGACGUGUCCUAUUUUGUAUGUACCUUCUGAAUAAGGAUCGGCUAACUCCGUGCCAUCAGCCGCGGUAAUACGGAGGAUCCGAGCGUUUUCCUGAUUUUUUGGUGUUAAAGGGUGCGUAGGCGGCCUUUUACGGCAGCGGUGAAGGUCUGUGGCUCAACCAUAGAAUUGCCGUUGAAACUGGGGGGCGUGAGUAUGUGUGAGGCAGGCGGAAUGCGUGGUGUAGCGGUGAAAUGCUUAGAUAUCACGCAGAACCCCGAUUGCGAAGGCAGCCUGCCAAGCCAUGACUGACGCUGAUGCACGAAAGCGUGGGGAUCAAACAGGAUUAGAUACCCGAGUAGUC